This 1524-nucleotide long non-coding RNA is filed under the name Capsella grandiflora. RNAcentral's name for it is "long non-coding RNA (CGRA_LNC000936)". Lineage: Eukaryota; Viridiplantae; Streptophyta; Magnoliopsida; Brassicales; Brassicaceae. The record is from RNAcentral.
GUUCUAGGUGGUCAUUAUGAUUGUGAGUUUGUUAGAAACUUCAUGUUUCAAUAUUUGGUUCAAAUGUUUUAUUUUCUUUAUAACUUUGGCAGAAGCUCAUACAAACAAAAGAUGAGCAUAAGUUUGUUGCAAAAAAUGGUGUACACAAGGCCAGAACAGUGUAGCAGCUUCGCUUAAGUGUCUAUCUAUAGGCAUUUAGAUUCGUAAUUAUUAUUCUCUGUUACAUUUUUUCUAUAAUGGUCCUCAACUUUUGCAGGGAUAUAUAUCAACCCAAACUGUGGUUUAUCUUACUCCCUGAUCUUUUUUCAAGAGUUCCUUCUCCAUUGUUGUGCACCAGAUUAAUAAGGUUACCUAUCUUAUACCUUUUCACUUACAUUUUUUUGUUCAGUUUCUUUGCAAGAGUUCAUUAUCGUAUAUGUGUAUCUAUGUAUACGAAAAUACUUCUCUGCAGAUAAUUGAACUUAAAUUGCUUAGAUGAUUUAGGUUAGUUUGCAGCAGCGGCCAAAACUUCUCUCGGAAUUAGUACUCUCUGUAAGAUUUUUUAUUAGUUUGAGGUUUUUGUAUGUUCUUCAUCGAGUGUCAUUUUCUCUUCUCAGAACUAUGGCUGGGUCAAAUCAAGAGAAGGGUUUUUGAACUGCAAAAUACAAAGAAGGGCUCAAGUGAAGUACUUUCUAUCAUUUCUAAAAUCUCUAACUUCAAACAAAAGUCCCACGGAAACUACAAGUACAAGUACAAAGUUCAAACACAUACACUUCACGUAGAGAACAUUGGUCAAAUAGGCAAAACAAAGACACGUAUACACAACAUUCAAAACAUAAAUUCAAAAACUUCACGACUAGAGAACAAAAUUCAAAUAAGCAAAACAAAUAUACGCAAACACAACACUCAAAACAAAAACUUCACGACCAGAGAACAAAACUCUUAAAAUUGUGGUGUCAAAGGUUCUCCAUCCAAAGCAUUAGUGCAAUGUAGAUGCAGAUGACCGGCUAUAGAAUAGCCUUGUAACAUUCCGAUGGUCACAUCUCCAAUGGGUCCAUGUUCACUCUUAGCUCAUGGGCUCACCUUUCUUUAAAAGCCUCACGUAUAGGCCCGUGAGUCCACCAAUACCCGACGGCCGGUUUUCUAUGUCUUGGAGUCUUAAAAACUUGUUUACCGACUCUUCAAAUCACCACAUGAUCUUUCCCUGCGAUUUGGCCUCACUCGUACAGUUCCGAGAACCCUUUCCCGAAAUGUCACCCAUCCUUUUACUACUCUAGCAUCAGCACACUUAACUGUGGAGUUUUCUCAGGACAUUUAUAAUAGAGGGGUUAAAUUUUGUUUAACUUUUUAUUUUAAUUUUGAUAAAAAAAAAAAAUUAUUUUAAUUUUGAUUUAAAAAAAUAAAAUAAAUAAUAAAUAACAUGACACAUUGUUGUAUUUUGAUUGGUUAGUUAAAAAUGAUUGAAUAAGAUAGGUUCACCCCAAGUAUUGUUCCUUAUUAAGGGGUGGGCAAAAUACCCGCACCUGAAACCCGAACCCAAACCCG